Molecule: transfer RNA, 75 nt
Filed under: Halapricum sp. CBA1109
Lineage: Archaea; Methanobacteriati; Methanobacteriota; Halobacteria; Halobacteriales; Haloarculaceae
Rfam family: tRNA
About the family: Transfer RNA (tRNA) molecules are approximately 80 nucleotides in length.
Source: Rfam by way of RNAcentral
GGGUUCGUGGUCUAGGCUGGCUAUGACACCUCCUUGACAUGGAGGAGGCCGGCGGUUCAAAUCCGCCCGGACCCA